GAUCCUGGCUUAGAACGAACGCUGGCGGCGCGUUUAAGCAUGCAAGUCGAGCGGCAAGGGCCUUCGGGCCCCUAGAGCGGCGGACGGGUGAGUAACACGUGGACAAUCUGCCCCCCGGCCCGGGAUAGCCCAGGGAAACCUGGAUUAAUACCGGAUGAGACGGGACCCGCGAUGGCGGGACCCGGGAAAGGCGCUGCGGCGCCGCCGGGGGAUGAGUCUGCGUCCCAUUAGCUAGACGGCGGGGUAACGGCCCACCGUGGCGACGAUGGGUAGCCGGCCUGAGAGGGUGGACGGCCACAUUGGAACUGAGACACGGUCCAGACUCCUACGGGAGGCAGCAGCUAAGAAUCUUCCGCAAUGGGCGAAAGCCUGACGGAGCCGACGCCGCGUGAACGAAGAAGGCCGUGAGGUUGUAAAGUUCUUUUCGGGAGGGGAACAACCGUGGCAGGGAAUGGCCGCGGGAUGACGUGAAUCCCGGAAUAAGCCCCGGCUAACUACGUGCCAGCCGCCGC
This 512-nucleotide ribosomal RNA is filed under the name uncultured bacterium. RNAcentral describes it as "bacterial SSU rRNA". It matches the Rfam family "Bacterial small subunit ribosomal RNA", at positions 15 to 518 of the family's 1533-position model. The record is from RNAcentral.